This 1553-nucleotide long non-coding RNA is filed under the name Homo sapiens (human). Its description in RNAcentral is "HSALNT0329429". Lineage: Eukaryota; Metazoa; Chordata; Mammalia; Primates; Hominidae. The record is from RNAcentral.
CUCUCCUGUAUGAGAUCCUUUAUUCCUGUUUUGCCGUCCUCCUUUGUGAUUAGAAGAUUUUCUCUAAUGUGAGAGAAUGUUCAGGAGAGAAAAUCAGAAAUCUACAUUUGAAAAGUAUCCCACUAACAGAAGUUGAUCCAAGACAGAGAAGAAGAUACAUGGAGCUUAUUUGGGAGGUGCACUGAUAAAAGAUUGCAGACAUGAAAAAAGGGAAGAGAAGAAACUCUUUUCAAGGUUUCAGAAGAAACUACCUUAAUGAAGAAACAGAAGGGAAAGACGUGAAAACCUCCAGAGUUCUUCAGAAAGGCUUCCUUUGCAUAGAAUCGUUCAUCAAUUUCAACAGUAACAGAAAGUAACGGAAACGUGAUCUGAAUGAGUAGCUGAAAAUUGAGUAGUAACUUAACACUCCAUUGAAGUUUUUCAUCAGAUAUGGGGCACAGCUUGACCCUCGUAUUAUAAAUAUUUAAAUGCUUUGGAUAUUUUGCCAAAGUUUAAGCAUUUCUUCCCAAAGGAACAGUGGUGAUAUAAUGUGAGUCAUGCUAAAGUACUUAACCAUCAGUGGGCAGAUUUUGUGGCAUGAAUUUUUGUAAUGAUUUUAAGUAAGACCCGGUAUAUUCACAAAUAUCCAAAACUUUAUUUAGAACUGUAUGGGAAGCUAUUCUAUCUAAAAGCUCAUUCUUAUUAAAAGUAUUUUUUCAGGAAAUAAAAUGAUGUUAAACCUGGAAGUCUCCAGCAAAGAGACUGAUUUUUUUUUAGAUGCUCCCAACUCAGUAAAUUUUGCUUUCCUAUUUUCUUAUUUUUGUACGUAUGCCACUGAUGUCUAGCUUAUACACUUCUGUUAUAUUUACAGCUGUUUACAACCAUUGAACCAAAAGUUCUAUACCUGUUGAAUGUCUAAAAGUAGAGAAAAUUAAUUGAAAAGCAAUAGGUUAAGAAUCAACCUGUGGUCCCAAGAAAAAGAAGUAAAAUCCUAUAAAAUUCUUAAAGCAUUUCCUCUAUAAAUAUUUGAAAGUUAUUUAAUCUUUUGGUCUUUAUAGUGCCUGGAUUGACAUUCUGCAUUAACUAUGGAAUCAUUUUUAUAAGGAAUAUUUUGUGAUUUGUAUAAGAAAAAGUAUUUCUCAAUGGCAUAGGAAGAGCUUUGCUAACUCUUAGAAGAAAGAGGGAAGAGAAGAGGGAAGGAAACAAGUAAAACGAACUGGUGGUACAUCGUGUAUUAAGAGAUAAUACAAGGAUAUCAUACUAUAAUGUUUUCAGACAAAAAUUAUGGACAGGCUAAUUCGUGAAAUAAGAUGAAGACCUAAAAGGUAGCAAUGAUCCUAUACACUAUACUCUGUAACAGUUGUUUUCAAACUGCUUUUUAAACAUAAAAACAAUUUUAAAUCCACUAUUUUAGCACAUUCUGGUCUUAUAUAGUAAUUACAUGGCUAUAUUUUUCCAGUGUGACAUAUUUAAAAUACAUAUCAUUAAAUUUCUGGUUAAUCUUAAACAUGGAAAUAAAGUACGAAAUUUCUAGUUGUUGAAGUAUGUUUAAAAUAAAAUAUAUUAAAAUAUCA